RNAcentral lists this ribosomal RNA (498 nucleotides) under uncultured bacterium. RNAcentral's name for it is "partial 16S ribosomal RNA". It matches the Rfam family "Bacterial small subunit ribosomal RNA", at positions 30 to 523 of the family's 1533-position model. The record is from RNAcentral.
AUUGAACGCUGGCGGCAUGCUUUACACAUGCAAGUCGAACGGCAGCGCGGGGCAACCUGGCGGCGAGUGGCGAACGGGUGAGUAAUAUAUCGGAACGUACCCAGAAGUGGGGGAUAACGUAGCGAAAGUUACGCUAAUACCGCAUACGAUCUACGGAUGAAAGUGGGGGACCUUCGGGCCUCAUGCUUGUGGAGCGGCCGAUAUCUGAUUAGCUAGUUGGUAGGGUAAAGGCCUACCAAGGCGACGAUCAGUAGCUGGUCUGAGAGGACGACCAGCCACACUGGGACUGAGACACGGCCCAGACUCCUACGGGAGGCAGCAGUGGGGAAUUUUGGACAAUGGGCGCAAGCCUAAUCCAGCAAUGCCGCGUGAGUGAAGAAGGCCUUCGGGUUGUAAAGCUCUUUUGUCAGGGAAGAAACGGCGAUUUCUAAUAAAGAUUGCUAAUGACGGUACCUGAAGAAUAAGCACCGGCUAACUACGUGCCAGCCGCCGCAGUAA